Cololabis saira (Pacific saury) is the source of this 1476-nucleotide long non-coding RNA. RefSeq lists it as uncharacterized. The transcript is spliced from 3 exons. The record is from RefSeq and is a predicted model, not a curated record. NCBI's taxonomy places the organism in Eukaryota, Metazoa, Chordata, Actinopteri, Beloniformes, Belonidae.
CUUCGCUACAGGAGCAUGCAAAGCUUUGGUUACCCCUGAUCACAUUAAAUAAAAGUUGACUUGAUUUCUACAGGACAAACAUUUAAACAGAUUUUGUUUUAACCUGUAAGAACCCAGACCCAUUUCUACUUGAAGACAAAAUAUGGGGUGCAUAACACAGAUGAAGUGGACUAUAUUUAAGGAACUUUCCGUGACAUUUAAAGGCAGUGUGACAGCCCUUGUUCUGGAUGAAAAGCCUUGAUUGCUGCAAGCUUAUUUGGUUGUAAUAACUGCGUUAUUUUAUCCUAUUGUUCCAAAGGUAUUUAACACAAAGCUGGUGUGAGGACGAUGAAAAAACCUAAACUUGCAUCGGUUGAGGCAAACCAUAAUACUUCAGUAGCAGAGGCAAUUAUCCUUCUAUUUGAAGCUUUAAUGGAAUAUCUUCACCUCUGUAGGUGAAAAGCUCCCUGCGCCGCUGACAAGCUAAAAGCACAAUUGUGCUUAAGGUGAACGAUUCUGCCCAUUUUUCCCUAAUAUUCUAAGAAGGACGUCUCCAGUCUGUAUUUGCCUCCUCUAACAGCCCAGUCCACUCAUGGACCCGAUCCGAUCAAGCUUCAGGCCGAAGCAUCCCCGGUUCCAUCCCCUCCGUGAGCGAUCUGGCUCUGCUCGUUUCUGGUUGGCCAGGGCCCCCUUCAGCAGCCGGAGCCAGGGGGUCUCCGACUGCACCUGAGCAUCAGCCCAUUUCGGGAAUUCGGCUGCUUUGACCCCAGAGGGGACUGUGGACUGCUCCUCCGGCUGGCUGUUUAGCAGGUUCUCCAGAUCGUCCAGGGUCAGAAGGUCAUUAUAGCGCUCCAGAAACUGCUCCAUAAACUAGACAGAGGGAUGAAUCUCAGGUCUCCUUUCCUGGACUAUUUUUUUGCCCCAUUCACUCCCUUUAUUCUAAGUGAGCGACUUCUUUCUGUCCCCUCCCAUCCCCCUGUACCUGCGCAGCAUCGGCGGGAGGAUGCAGAGCGCGUGCCUCUGUGAUCUCAAACGGAGUCAGGAGGAGCAGAGUGGCACAAAGCAGCACAGGACACAGCAUGGCAGCGGAGACGAGGACCGCGAGCAGGAAAUCUGGGAAGACACUGGCUGAAAAGAUUCAAAACAAAUAAAUUCAUGCACUGAAGUUAUUUUUUUUUUAAUAAAUGAAACCAUUCAGAACAAAAAAAAAAUGUUUGAUGAAACUACCCUUAAGACACUUAAGAAUUUUAAGUUCUAACAUUUUUUUUUGUUAUUCAUUUAAAAAGACAAAAUAACAGCUAUUCUGCACAGCCAAGAACUAAUUUUUAACCUAAUUUGUGUUUGAAUCUAAUUAUGCCACAAUGGCGCAUCUAAGGAUAUUUCAUCAUUUUAAAAUGAUAACUGCGUUCCUUUAAAUACACCCCAAUGAAAAGGUCAGCAAUGUCUCAAAAAAGUACCACUUUCACUUGCCUUAUCACCCCUCCCCCUUUAUUUUUA